RNAcentral lists this ribosomal RNA (201 nucleotides) under uncultured bacterium. Its description in RNAcentral is "partial 16S ribosomal RNA". It matches the Rfam family "Bacterial small subunit ribosomal RNA", at positions 328 to 539 of the family's 1533-position model. The record is from RNAcentral.
ACGCUCGACACCUACGGGAGGCAUCAGUUGGGAAUAUUGGACAAUGGAGGAAACUCUGAUCCAGUGACGCCGCGUGAAGGAAGAAGGUCUUCGGAUUGUAAACUUAUUUUGUCAGGGAAGAAAAAAUGACUGUACCUGAAGAAAAAAGCACCGGCUAACUACGUGCCCGCAGCCGCGGUAAUCUGAGCGGGCUGGCAAGGC